CGCGGCCUAUCAGCUUGUUGGUGAGGUAAUGGCUCACCAAGGCAUCGACGGGUAGCUGGUCUGAGAGGACGAUCAGCCACACUGGGACUGAGACACGGCCCAGACUCCUACGGGAGGCAGCAGUGGGGAAUAUUGCGCAAUGGGCGAAAGCCUGACGCAGCAACGCCGCGUGUGGGAUGACAGCUUUCGGGUUGUAAACCACUUUCAGUGACGACGAAAAUGACGGUAGUCACAGAAGAAGGUCCGGCCAACUACGUGCCAGCAGCCGCGGUAACACGUAGGGACCAAGCGUUGUCCGGAUUUAUUGGGCGUAAAGAGCUCGUAGGCGGUUCCGUAAGUCGGAUGUGAAAACUCAGGGCUCAACCCUGAGACGCCAUCUGAUACUGCGGUGACUAGAGUCCGGUAGGGGAGCAUGGAAUUCCUGGUGUAGCGGUGGAAUGCGCAGAUAUCAGGAGGAACGCCAAUGGCGAAGGCAGUGCUCUGGGCCGGAACUGACGCUGAGGAGCGAAAGCAUGGGGAGCAAACAGGAUUAGAUACCCUGGUAGUCCAUGCCGUAAACGUUGGGCACUAGGUGUGGGAUCUUCUAACGGAUUCCGUGCCGUAGCUAACGCAUUAAGUGCCCCGCCUGGGGAGUACGG
This 638-nucleotide ribosomal RNA is filed under the name uncultured Actinomycetes bacterium. Its description in RNAcentral is "bacterial SSU rRNA". It matches the Rfam family "Bacterial small subunit ribosomal RNA", at positions 232 to 885 of the family's 1533-position model. The record is from RNAcentral. Lineage: Bacteria; Bacillati; Actinomycetota; Actinomycetes.